UACGGAGGGUGCAAGCGUUAUCCGGAUUUAUUGGGUUUAAAGGGUCCGUAGGCGGAUCCGUAAGUCAGUGGUGAAAUCUCAUAGCUUAACUAUGAAACUGCCAUUGAUACUGCGGGUCUUGAGUGAGAUUGAGGUAGCUGGAAUAAGUAGUGUAGCGGUGAAAUGCAUAGAUAUUACUUAGAACACCAAUUGCGAAGGCAGGUUACCAAGUCUUAACUGACGCUGAUGGACGAAAGCGUGGGGAGCGAACAGGAUUAGAUACCCUGGUAGUCCACGCCGUAAACGAUGCUAACUCGUUUUUGGGGCCUUGCGCUUCAGAGACUAAGCGAAAGUGAUAAGUUAGCCACCUGGGGAGUACGUUCGCAAGAAUGAA
Molecule: ribosomal RNA, 373 nt
Filed under: uncultured bacterium
Lineage: Bacteria
Description: bacterial SSU rRNA
Rfam family: Bacterial small subunit ribosomal RNA
Source: RNAcentral